CAGCCGCCACGGUAAUACGUAGGGUCUGAGCGUUGUCCGGAAUUACUGGGCGUAAAGAGCUCGUAGGUGGUUUGUCGCGUUGUUCGUGAAAACUCACAGCUCAACUGUGGGCGUGCGGGCGAUACGGGCAGACUGGAGUACUGCAGGGGAGACUGGAAUUCCUGGCGUAGCGGUGGAAUGCGCAGAUAUCAGGAGGAACACCGGUGGCGAAGGCGGGUCUCUGGGCAGUAACUGACGCUGAGGAGCGAAAGCGUGGGGAGCGAACAGGAUUAGAUACCCGCGUAGUCCCUGUCUCUUAACA
Molecule: ribosomal RNA, 301 nt
Filed under: uncultured bacterium
Lineage: Bacteria
Description: partial 16S ribosomal RNA
Rfam family: Bacterial small subunit ribosomal RNA
Source: RNAcentral